AACGGAAAGGCCCUGCUUGCAGGGUACUCGAGUGGCGAACGGGUGAGUAACACGUGGGUGAUCUGCCCUGCACUUCGGGAUAAGCUUGGGAAACUGGGUCUAAUACCGGAUAGGACCGCACUUUAGUGUGUGUGGUGGAAAGUUUUUUCGGUGUAGGAUGAGCUCGCGGCCUAUCAGCUUGUUGGUGGGGUAAUGGCCUACCAAGGCGGCGACGGGUAGCCGGCCUGAGAGGGUGUACGGCCACAUUGGGACUGAGAUACGGCCCAGACUCCUACGGGAGGCAGCAGUGGGGAAUAUUGCACAAUGGGCGCAAGCCUGAUGCAGCGACGCCGCGUGGGGGAUGAAGGCCUUCGGGUUGUAAACUCCUUUCGCUAGGGACGAAGCUUUGUUGUGACGGUACCUAGAUAAGAAGCACCGGCUAACUAC
RNAcentral lists this ribosomal RNA (426 nucleotides) under uncultured Corynebacterium sp. Its description in RNAcentral is "bacterial SSU rRNA". It matches the Rfam family "Bacterial small subunit ribosomal RNA", at positions 65 to 504 of the family's 1533-position model. The record is from RNAcentral. Lineage: Bacteria; Bacillati; Actinomycetota; Actinomycetes; Mycobacteriales; Corynebacteriaceae.